UGAAAUGAUUUUAGGUUCUGAAGGUGGCACAUCCACCAAUACAAGCUCAGCAGUCCAAGCUUCUGGUGCAACCGCAUCCUCUCAUGAGGCAUCAGAUGCUUCAUUUGUUAAAAAGUCAGCAGCAAGCAUGCUUAGUGGGAAGAGGCCUGUUCAAGCAGCUCCUACCAACAAAAAAGGGGCUUCUGCUAAAGGGCGUGUGAGUAAGAAGAGUGAUGCACCUGCACAGACAAAAUCCUCUAAAUCUGCUGAAACACCCGAAGAUGUUGAGCCAUCUGAAAUGGGUCUUGAAGAGAUUGAAAGCA
Molecule: long non-coding RNA, 302 nt
Organism: Humulus lupulus (European hop)
Lineage: Eukaryota; Viridiplantae; Streptophyta; Magnoliopsida; Rosales; Cannabaceae
Exons: 5
Source: RefSeq, a predicted model, not a curated record